GGAGAAAAGUAGGGGAUCGCAAGACCUCAUGCUCAUGGAGCGGCCGAUAUCUGAUUAGCUAGUUGGUAGGGUAAAAGCCUACCAAGGCUACGAUCAGUAGCUGGUCUGAGAGGACGACCAGCCACACUGGGACUGAGACACGGCCCAGACUCCUACGGGAGGCAGCAGUGGGGAAUUUUGGACAAUGGGGGCAACCCUGAUCCAGCAAUGCCGCGUGUGUGAAGAAGGCCUUCGGGUUGUAAAGCACUUUUGUCGGGAACGAAACGGUCCGGGCUAAUAUCCUGGGCUAAUGACGGUACCCGAAGAAUAAGCACCGGCUAACUACGUGCCAGCAGCCGCGGUAAUACGUAGGGUGCAAGCGUUAAUCGGAAUUACUGGGCGUAAAGCGUGCGCAGGCGGUUGUGCAAGACAGAUGUGAAAUCCCCGGGCUUAACCUGGGAAUUGCGUUUGAAACUACAAGGCUAG
RNAcentral lists this ribosomal RNA (465 nucleotides) under uncultured bacterium. RNAcentral's name for it is "bacterial SSU rRNA". It matches the Rfam family "Bacterial small subunit ribosomal RNA", at positions 198 to 644 of the family's 1533-position model. The record is from RNAcentral.